RNAcentral lists this unclassified non-coding RNA (71 nucleotides) under Mus musculus (house mouse). RNAcentral describes it as "partial C/D box snoRNA; small non-messenger RNA (snmRNA)". The record is from RNAcentral. Lineage: Eukaryota; Metazoa; Chordata; Mammalia; Rodentia; Muridae.
GAUGCCUUAAAAUUGNGGUUUCGACUCACUGAGAGUAACGUGAGGACCUACAGUUCCUUGGCUGUGUNUGA